Molecule: ribosomal RNA, 888 nt
Filed under: Triticum aestivum (bread wheat)
Lineage: Eukaryota; Viridiplantae; Streptophyta; Magnoliopsida; Poales; Poaceae
Description: partial small subunit ribosomal RNA
Source: RNAcentral
AUGAAAAGUGAGACCAAGGGGCUGAAAACAUUGAUUAUGAGCGAGUCACCGUGCACAUACUACAUCCAUUGCUUUAUACAGCUCUAGUUGGUUCUUGUUGUCGUAUCCAGAGCUAAUAGUGGACUGGUGUGGUAUUUUGAUCAAGUCUCUCAGCUAUUGAAUAUCAUUGGACUUUAUUUUAAGCGCCAUGAUAUGCUUUCAAAUGUUAGAGCACAAGAAAUUUUGAAAGCACUUGAAGAUGGUGAAGCACAAAGUGGACGUGUUAACCAAACGAUGGGGUUAGCUAGGCUGGUGGAAACUUGUUGGGGUUCUCAUUACAAAAUCACUCUUUACAUCAUUACUAUGUAUUCCACAAUCCGUGUAGUGCUCAUGAAGAUAGGAAAAGAUCCCGCACGUAGAAAUGAUUGGCUAAAAAUUCAUACAAUUGUGGAAGCUUUUGGGUCAUAAGAGCUCAUUUUCAAUGCACACUUGAUGCUUGUCAUACUUGCGUAAAAUGAUGAGUUAUCUCAAUGUUUGCAAACGGGACAUGAAAUUAUUAAUUCUAUGAGCCUUGUUGAUUUGGCUAAGGAGAGGAUGCAACAUAUGAGAGAUCAUGGAUGGGAUGGAUCUCAAGAAACGGUGAGGUCCUUUUGCACUAAGAAUGGAAUCAAAAUUCCUCUAUCGGAUGCUAGGUAUGGUCAUCAUGGAAGAUCAUGUCAUUUUUAUGCAGAUCAAACAAUUGAUGAUCAUUACAGAAGAGAAGUUUAUCUUGGCAGCCUCACUGAUAUUUGUUAGCAAGAGGUUGAUAAUUGCUUUGAUGAGGUUAAUAUGGAGUUGGUCCGUUGCAUGUGGGCUCGGAACUCUCUCGAUUCUUGUGCUUUUUUGAUCGAGAUAAAGUACUUCAACUAG